Molecule: ribosomal RNA, 700 nt
Filed under: uncultured Staphylococcus sp.
Lineage: Bacteria; Bacillati; Bacillota; Bacilli; Caryophanales; Staphylococcaceae
Description: bacterial SSU rRNA
Rfam family: Bacterial small subunit ribosomal RNA
Source: RNAcentral
AAGUCGAGCGAACGGACGAGAAGCUUGCUUCUCUGAUGUUAGCGGCGGACGGGUGAGUAACACGUGGAUAACCUACCUAUAAGACUGGGAUAACUUCGGGAAACCGGAGCUAAUACCGGAUAAUAUUUUGAACCGCAUGGUUCAAAAGUGAAAGACGGUCUUGCUGUCACUUAUAGAUGGAUCCGCGCUGCAUUAGCUAGUUGGUAAGGUAACGGCUUACCAAGGCAACGAUGCAUAGCCGACCUGAGAGGGUGAUCGGCCACACUGGAACUGAGACACGGUCCAGACUCCUACGGGAGGCAGCAGUAGGGAAUCUUCCGCAAUGGGCGAAAGCCUGACGGAGCAACGCCGCGUGAGUGAUGAAGGUCUUCGGAUCGUAAAACUCUGUUAUUAGGGAAGAACAUAUGUGUAAGUAACUGUGCACAUCUUGACGGUACCUAAUCAGAAAGCCACGGCUAACUACGUGCCAGCAGCCGCGGUAAUACGUAGGUGGCAAGCGUUAUCCGGAAUUAUUGGGCGUAAAGCGCGCGUAGGCGGUUUUUUAAGUCUGAUGUGAAAGCCCACGGCUCAACCGUGGAGGGUCAUUGGAAACUGGAAAACUUGAGUGCAGAAGAGGAAAGUGGAAUUCCAUGUGUAGCGGUGAAAUGCGCAGAGAUAUGGAGGAACACCAGUGGCGAAGGCGACUUUCUGGUCUGUAACU